This 452-nucleotide ribosomal RNA is filed under the name uncultured bacterium. RNAcentral's name for it is "bacterial SSU rRNA". It matches the Rfam family "Bacterial small subunit ribosomal RNA", at positions 29 to 526 of the family's 1533-position model. The record is from RNAcentral.
AACGAACGCUGGCGGCAUGCCUAAUACAUGCAAGUCGAACGAGACCUUCGGGUCUAGUGGCGCACGGGUGCGUAACGCGUGGGAAUCUGCCCUUGGGUUCGGAAUAACUUCGGGAAACUGAAGCUAAUACCGGAUGAUGACGAAAGUCCAAAGAUUUAUCGCCCAGGGAUGAGCCCGCGUAGGAUUAGCUAGUUGGUGGGGUAAAGGCUCACCAAGGCAACGAUCCUUAGCUGGUCUGAGAGGAUGAUCAGCCACACUGGGACUGAGACACGGCCCAGACUCCUACGGGAGGCAGCAGUAGGGAAUAUUGGACAAUGGGCGAAAGCCUGAUCCAGCAAUGCCGCGUGAGUGAUGAAGGCCUUAGGGUUGUAAAGCUCUUUUACCCGAGAUGAUAAUGACAGUAUCGGGAGAAUAAGCUCCGGCUAACUCCGUGCCAGCCGCCGCCGUAACAC